Cinara cedri is the source of this 440-nucleotide non-coding RNA. Lineage: Eukaryota; Metazoa; Arthropoda; Insecta; Hemiptera; Aphididae. The record is from the annotation of a GenBank genome assembly.
CCGCGAUAUAUUCGUGAGUAAUUCAAUAUACAGGUACAUAAUUAUCGGGGGCGUGUCAGAAAACUAAUUUAAACGGGUAAAUUAGAAUUUUUUCAUGCACACUCCUGAUUAUUCACAUCUCCACAUUUUCCCAAUCCAAAAAAACAAUUCUAACUGUAUGCUCGAUUCUAACGUUUAUAUUCUUUUUUUUAGAGAUUGUAAACUUUAAAAAAGGAUAGACAUACUUUGCACGUGAGUGCAGCGAUUGUUAGAGAUGGGAAGUUGGAAAAUUAGGGUACAGACGGGAAUUUAAUGUACAUUAGUAAGCAACGAUAAACCAUUGCUAACGAAUAAACGAUUCUGAGCGGAGUUCAGUUGAUAGUGUUGCUUUAUCAACAAUACAAUAUAUGGUAUAUGUCAUAUUAUGGUAAAAUGAUCACAACAAUGUGCGUUUUCAUGAC